GGAUUCCCCUAGUAACUGCGAGUGAAGCGGGAAAAGCUCAAAUUUGAAAUCUGGCAGUCUUUUUUUUCUUCUUUGGCUGUCCGAGUUGUAAUCUAGAGAAGUGCUUACCUGCACUGGACCAUGUAUAAGUCUCCUGGAAUGGAGUGUCGCAGAGGGUGAGAAUCCCGUCUUUGACAUGGACUGCCAGUGUGUUGUGGUGUGCUCUCAAAGAGUCGAGUUGUUUGGGAAUGCAGCUCUAAAUGGGUGGUAAACUCCAUCUAAAGCUAAAUAUUGGCGAGAGACCGAUAGUGAACAAGUACCGUGAGGGAAAGAUGAAAAGGACUUUGGAAAGAGAGUUAAACAGUAUGUGAAAUUGUUGAAAGGGAAACGCUUGAAGUCAGUUAUGUAUUCUAGGGAUCAACCUAGCUACUUUUGCUGGGUGAAUUUCCUAGUCUUACAGGCCAACAUCAGUCUUGACUGCUGGAAAAGAGCAGAGGGAAUGUGGCACUUUCGGGUGUGUUAUAGCCCUGUGUCAUAUGUGGCAGUUGGGACUGAGGAAUGCAGCAUGCCGCGAGGCUGGGUUUCUGACCACGUUCAUGCUUAGGAUGUUGGCUUUUAAUGGCUUCAAUCGACCCGUCUUGAAACACGGACCAAGGAGUCUAACCAUGCCUGCGAGUGUUUGGGUGGGGAAAACCCUUGUGCACAAUGAAAGUGAAAGUUGAGAUCCCUGUCAUGGGGAGCAUCGACGCCCGGACUUGAGCUUUUAGCGACGGAUCCGCGGUAGAGCAUGCAUGUUGGGACCCGAAAGAUGGUGAACUAUGCCUGAAUAGGGCAAAGCCAGAGGAAACUCUGGUGGAGGCUCGUAGCGAUUCUGACGUGCAAAUCGAUCGUCAAAUUUGGGUAUAGGGGCGAAAGACUAAUCGA
RNAcentral lists this ribosomal RNA (903 nucleotides) under Amanita cistetorum. Its description in RNAcentral is "partial 28S ribosomal RNA". It matches the Rfam family "Eukaryotic large subunit ribosomal RNA", at positions 72 to 938 of the family's 3401-position model. Lineage: Eukaryota; Fungi; Basidiomycota; Agaricomycetes; Agaricales; Amanitaceae. The record is from RNAcentral.